RNAcentral lists this ribosomal RNA (508 nucleotides) under Hoplosaenidea subcostata. RNAcentral's name for it is "partial 16S ribosomal RNA". The stretch from base 382 to 508 matches the Rfam family "Bacterial large subunit ribosomal RNA", at positions 2473 to 2600 of the family's 2925-position model. The record is from RNAcentral. Lineage: Eukaryota; Metazoa; Arthropoda; Insecta; Coleoptera; Chrysomelidae.
GGUUUUUUGUUUAAUAUUUAAGAUUUGGCCUGCCCACUGAUAUUUAAAUGGCCGCAGUAUUUUGACUGUGCUAAGGUAGCAUAAUCAUUAGUUUUUUUAUUGAAAACUGGAAUGAAGGGUUGGAUGAAAAAAAAUCUGUCUUUAUGUUAAUUAUUAGAAUUUUAUUUUUAAGUUAAAAAGCUUAAAUUUUAUUAAAAGACGAGAAGACCCUAUAGAGUUUGAUAAUAUUUUAAUUAUUAUUUUUUUUUAGGAUUGAUUUAAAUAUUUAAAAUUUUAUUUUAUUGGGGUGAUAUAAAAAUUUAAUUAACUUUUUAAAUAUUAUUAUAUAAAUUAAUAGAAUAUUGAUCCAAUUUUUUGAUUAUUAGAUUAAGUUACCUUAGGGAUAACAGCGUAAUUUUAUUUGAGAGUUCAAAUCGAAAAUAGAGAUUGCGACCUCGAUGUUGGAUUAAAAUUUAUAUUUGGUGUAGAAGCUAAUUAAUUAAGUCUGUUCGACUUUUAAAAUUUUACA